RNAcentral lists this transfer RNA (73 nucleotides) under Diaphorina citri (Asian citrus psyllid). It matches the Rfam family "tRNA". From Rfam's summary of the family: Transfer RNA (tRNA) molecules are approximately 80 nucleotides in length. Their secondary structure includes four short double-helical elements and three loops (D, anti-codon, and T loops). Further hydrogen bonds mediate the characteristic L-shaped molecular structure. tRNAs have two regions of fundamental functional importance: the anti-codon, which is responsible for specific mRNA codon recognition, and the 3' end, to which the tRNAs corresponding amino acid is attached (by aminoacyl-tRNA synthetases). tRNAs cope with the degeneracy of the genetic code in two manners: having more than one tRNA (with a specific anti-codon) for a particular amino acid; and 'wobble' base-pairing, i.e. permitting non-standard base-pairing at the 3rd anti-codon position. The record is from Rfam by way of RNAcentral. Lineage: Eukaryota; Metazoa; Arthropoda; Insecta; Hemiptera; Psyllidae.
GCCUAGUUAGCUUAGUUGGGUAGCGCGUCCUGCCUUGUAAGCGCAAGCCGCGGGUUCGAUUCCCGCCUGGGCC